AUACGGAGGAUCCGAGCGUUAUCCGGAUUUAUUGGGUUUAAAGGGUGCGCAGGCGGCCAUUUAAGUCAGCGGUUAAAUCGUGGGGCUCAACCCCAUUCUGCCGUUGAUACUGGGUGGCUUGAUUGCGGUCGAGGUUGGCGGAAUUCGUUGUGUUGCGGUGAAAUGCAUAGAUAUGACGAAGAACACCGAUUGCGUAGGCAGCUGACCAGACCGCAAAUGACGCUCAUGCACGAAAGUGCGGGGAUCGAACAGGAUUAGAUACCCUGGUAGUCCGCACAGUAAACGAUGAAUACUUGUUUUCGGCGAUAUAAUGUCGGAGGCAAAGCGAAAGCGAUAAGUAUUCCACCUGGGGAGUACGCCGGCAACGGUGAAACUCAAAUGAAUUGACGGGG
This 392-nucleotide ribosomal RNA is filed under the name uncultured bacterium. RNAcentral describes it as "partial 16S ribosomal RNA". It matches the Rfam family "Bacterial small subunit ribosomal RNA", at positions 523 to 918 of the family's 1533-position model. The record is from RNAcentral.